Nematostella vectensis (starlet sea anemone) is the source of this 1831-nucleotide long non-coding RNA. RefSeq lists it as uncharacterized. The record is from RefSeq and is a predicted model, not a curated record. The transcript is spliced from 2 exons. Lineage: Eukaryota; Metazoa; Cnidaria; Anthozoa; Actiniaria; Edwardsiidae.
CAAGGAGUGGACAUUGUGUUUUGAGGGCCAUGGAAAUUAACCUGGAGGAUCAGAAUAAAGCGAAGGUCUGAGCAGGAUCUAUUCACAAGCGAGAAACCUGUGCCAGCCACAAAUCAGAGCUCAGACGUUUUCUAUCAUCUAUCGAUUGGUCAGCAGUAGAUGAAGCUAGAAACUUUGAGGCCAAAUCGGCGCUCUUGAUCAUAUUACGCUUGUUAGCAAGGAGAUGAACAUAGACUUUAAGAGGAACACCCACAACUACCCUUCAGCUGUGGUCAAUAAUGAGAAACACCCACAACUACCCCUCAGCUGUGGUCAACGACGAGGAACUAACAUUGUCUGGCAGUGUAAGGAUCUUAGGGGUCACAGUUUAGCUCCAAUUUGAAAUGGAAUGGCCAUGUCAUAGAGUGCAUCAAGAUCGCAAAUACUAAGCACCUCUAUUUUAUUGUGCUCUUAAAAUGGGCCAAAGUCCCACAAAAGGACGUCAUGAACUUUUAUUGCACUGCUAUAAGACUGUGCUAGUAUUUCAUGACGCGAUUCUGCUCUACCUUAGCGACGACAUUGAAUGAUGCAAAAGGGAGCUCUAUCAAUUAUUUGCCCCCAUGUGCGAUACUCAGUCUGCUUAGCUUGUUUCAAUAUGGCCACCCUAUACAAAGUCUAUGCCAUGAAAAACAAACAAAGAAAUGUAAUGCAACACCUCAAGAAUGUGCAAGCCAAUAUCCUGGAAAUUUUCAUGCUGAUCAUGAUCUUCUAUUUUGUUUAGCUUGUAAUGUUGUCGUAAGUUGUUUUUAAACUUCUUUGGGUCCCGAUUCAGUUAAGUAAUGCAGCUGUUUUAUAAACACCGGCACAUAAACAAUUCAUUGCAUCCAGACGCUUGAUUUGCAAGUUUAAUUAAUUAAAGCACAUAAAACUUCUGCUUACAAAGUAUUGCACCAUUCGGCGCAUAAUCGGCGCAUAAUUCACAAUAUUGUGCAAUUCUAGAAAACAUCCAUACCCCCCAACGGAGGGAAAAAAUUUUUUGCCCACCACCCCCCCUGCCACCCCCUGGAACAAAAAUUACCCCCCCCCCCGGAUUUUGCGAUCCAAAAAAAAUACCGCCACCCCCCUCUGGAAAUAUGGUUUUGCGAAAAUGUUACGUAAACGCAUGUUUGAUUAAAACAUCCGCAAAACCAAUAAUUUCUUCUGAAACGUGCAAGUCACAUUUUAGCUACUUCACAAUCUUCGAAAUAAAAGAAUAUUUGAAUUCUUAUCGUCUUAAUAACUAGACUACAUUGUGUAUUUAUUGCUUUCUUUCUCUAGUAUGAAUACAACUUUAUGCCUGGAACUUUAUGCCAUGGAAAUGCCUAGCUAUACCGUUUUAUUGUAACUUGUGCCACGUUGACAAGCAAAAGCCUAAAGCCUCUUAAUUAACUAAAAUCCUAGUAUAGUUUAUCGUUUAAAUAUAAAAUACGUUUGUUUAACUCCUUCAAGAAAAUUUUAGUGUUUUACAAAUAGUUAUCGGAAUUUUAGGUGACCAAACGAAUUUUUCCAUCUGAAACAGCGCCUGUGGCAUUUAAACUUCUGUAAAGCUGAUCGUCCUGUUUUAUUAUUGUUCUGUUUGGUUGGUUUCUAUUUUAGAGUAAUUUUGGUGAUGAAAAUUUACAGUCAAUAGCUUGUGUUUGUAUAAUUUUCUCAGCCACGAAAACUUAACACCUUACACCCGGCCCAACGUGUUCCCUUCACAGUUCUGGAAUUCUUUAGAAGGUGCGACAUGGAAGCCAUUUCGUAGUAAGAAAAAUGUAGGCGCUCCGCCAAAUACAGACAAAAAGAGCCAGACUUGAAUGCAAAGUAAGAA